This 499-nucleotide ribosomal RNA is filed under the name uncultured bacterium. RNAcentral's name for it is "partial 16S ribosomal RNA". It matches the Rfam family "Bacterial small subunit ribosomal RNA", at positions 30 to 523 of the family's 1533-position model. The record is from RNAcentral.
AUUGGACGCUGGCGGCAGGCCUAACACAUGCAAGUCGAGCGGAUGAGAGGAGCUUGCUCCUCGAUUCAGCGGCGGACGGGUGAGUAAUGCCUAGGAAUCUGCCUAGUAGUGGGGGACAACGUUCGAAAGGAACGCUAAUACCGCAUACGUCCUACGGGAGAAAGUGGGGGAUCUUCGGACCUCACGCUAUUAGAUGAGCCUAGGUCGGAUUAGCUAGUUGGUAGGGUAACGGCCUACCAAGGCGACGAUCCGUAACUGGUCUGAGAGGAUGAUCAGUCACACUGGAACUGAGACACGGUCCAGACUCCUACGGGAGGCAGCAGUGGGGAAUAUUGGACAAUGGGCGAAAGCCUGAUCCAGCCAUGCCGCGUGUGUGAAGAAGGCCCUCGGGUCGUAAAGCACUUUAAGUUGGGAGGAAGGGCUUACAGCGAAUACCUGUGAGUUUUGACGUUACCGACAGAAUAAGCACCGGCUAACUUCGUGCCAGCAGCCGCCGCCG